CAGAGGAUGCAAGCGUUAUCCGGAAUGAUUGGGCGUAAAGCGUCUGUAGGUGGUUUCAUAAGUCUACUGUCAAAGAUCAGGGCUUAACCCUGAGCAGGCAGUAGAAACUAAGAAGCUUGAGUACGGUAGGGGCAGAGGGAAUUCCCGGUGUAGCGGUGAAAUGCGUAGAUAUCGGGAAGAACACCAAUGGCGAAAGCACUCUGCUGGGCCGAAACUGACACUCAGAGACGAAAGCUAGGGGAGCGAAUGGGAUU
RNAcentral lists this ribosomal RNA (254 nucleotides) under uncultured bacterium. RNAcentral describes it as "partial 16S ribosomal RNA". It matches the Rfam family "Bacterial small subunit ribosomal RNA", at positions 526 to 779 of the family's 1533-position model. The record is from RNAcentral.